AGGGUAGUAGUUUAACAAAAAUAUUAGCAUUGGAAGCUAAAGACUAGGUAAUCAAACCUACACCUUGAA
RNAcentral lists this transfer RNA (69 nucleotides) under Potamopyrgus antipodarum. RNAcentral's name for it is "tRNA-Pro". Lineage: Eukaryota; Metazoa; Mollusca; Gastropoda; Littorinimorpha; Tateidae. The record is from RNAcentral.